This is a long non-coding RNA of Poecile atricapillus (Black-capped chickadee), 1915 nucleotides long. RefSeq lists it as uncharacterized. The transcript is spliced from 5 exons. Lineage: Eukaryota; Metazoa; Chordata; Aves; Passeriformes; Paridae. The record is from RefSeq and is a predicted model, not a curated record.
GAGAGACGGCAGCCUGGCGAUGGCAGGAACUUCCCAGAUGGCGAGGCGGCCUUCCUUGGCACUCCAUGUGGAUCCUCCCCGCUGGGCAUCCGAGAGCUGAGUCGGAGGCUGCGAAUUGCAGAGGGGCUGAAAGUGGGGUGCCGGGUCGGGACUCUGGACCUGGGGUUAUGGAGUCAGCUUUGGGGACGGGGAGGUCCAGGCUGUGGCCCCUUAGGCCACGUGAAGGGAGAGCCUCACUUUUGUUCACAGUGCUGAGGUGUGCAGGACAGAGCAGUCCCGGGGCGUGUCCCAUCACUUGUCCAUCGUGCCUUCUGUGUCUUUUGUGCCUCUCCUGUUGUAUGUGCCUCGCCUUAUCUCUUCUGGGGGCUUACCAGAAACCCCAGUGUCACUCGUAGCAUCUCUGAUCUCUGGGCUCCUCAGCCCGACACCAUCGAAGCUUUGCCUCGGGAGCUCUCAGAGGCCUUGGAAUCGCGUCUCUCUUUUAAAAGCAUCCGAUCGGAUGUCUUUUAGAGGUCUUGUUCCGAGCUGUGUCAACAGCCGUGCGCCGCGAGGAUCCAUUGCUGCGGCUUAGGUCUUGAAGAAACGCAGAGAUAGGUAGGGGGCUGUGGCCCUAAAAUUCUCGGGCAUCCGUCUUGGCAGUUGCUGGAGUUUGUCAUUCCAUCAGCAUCUUCUUCCUCCCGGGUUCUGUGAGCUUCAUCAGCUCGCCUUCGUUCUCACCCGGCUCAUCUUGUUCCGCGUUCUCUCGGUCCUUGCGGCCAUUCUUGUGGCCCAGAGUUUUGUCUCCCCGUUGUGUCCCCUCGUCUGUUGUCUUGUGUGUCACGGGUGUCUGGGUGUAGUUGUCCCAGAGCUGCUCUGUCCUGCUGCCCAGCCUGGGUGUAGGUGUAAAAGGCCAAGUCCUAGGCCCCUGUUAUUUGAAAUUUGUGAUGUAGGGUGUAGUUGGAGUCUAGCGGGUGUUCCUAGAUUGACACAAGAUGUCUGGAGCUGUGAAGUUACCCUGCAGCACUUUGACUUUUGUCUCAGCUUUCUUUCAGAUGCGGACGGAUGAAAUCGGUGGCAGAGCGCCCCAUCCAGGGUAAGGGGGUUCCCGCGAGAAGGAAGUGAAGCCGGCUAGCAGCAGUCAAGGCGAAGUGGGCAAGGCGGUCCAGUCGCAUUUCGCCGAGACGUCCUCUCCAACCAACCGGCCGGCACAGCUGUUUCACCGCUCCCGUGAGCCCUGCGGAAACAUUACGGGACCGUGUGACGGAGCCUUUUCCACGUAAAGGGGCCGUGUGGGUGGCCUUCAGGAACGGGCCGAGGGGUUGCCGCGCGCCCUGCGAUGACGGCGUCCGGCUCCCGGUGUGGCCGAAGCGCGCGGCCUCAGGACGUGGCCGUUCGCAGGAGACCAAGACAACAGCCCGGCGAUGGCAGGAACUUCCCGGAUGGCGAGGCGGCCUUCCUUGGCGCUCCAUGUGGAUCCUCCCCGCUGGGCAUCCGAGAGCUGAGUCGGAGGCUGCAAAUUGCAGAGGGGCUGAAAUCGGGGUGCCGGGUCGGGACUCGUGACCUGGGAUUAUGGAGUCAGCUUUGGGGACGGGGAGGUCCAGGCUGUGGCCCCUUAGGCCACGUGAAGGGAGAGCCUCACUUUUGUUCACAGUGCUGAGGUGUGCAGGACGGAGCAGCCCCAGGGCGUGUUGUAUCACUUGUCCAUUGUGCCUUGUGUGUCUUUUGUGCUUCUCGUGUUGUACGUGCCUCGCCUUAUCUCUUCUGGGGGCUUACCAGAAACCCCGGCGUCACUCGUACCAUCUCCGAUCUCUGGGCUCCUCAGCCCGACACCAUCGAAGCUUUGCCUCGGGAGCCCUCAGAGGUCUUGGAAUCGCGUCUCUCUUUUAAAAGCAUCCGAUCGGAUGUCUUUUAGAGGUCUUGUUCCGAGCUGUGUCGA